This 849-nucleotide ribosomal RNA is filed under the name uncultured Bacillus sp. RNAcentral's name for it is "bacterial SSU rRNA". It matches the Rfam family "Bacterial small subunit ribosomal RNA", at positions 33 to 864 of the family's 1533-position model. Lineage: Bacteria; Bacillati; Bacillota; Bacilli; Caryophanales; Bacillaceae. The record is from RNAcentral.
ACGCUGGCGGCGUGCCUAAUACAUGCAAGUCGAGCGGACAGAUGGGAGCUUGCUCCCUGAUGUUAGCGGCGGACGGGUGAGUAACACGUGGGUAACCUGCCUGUAAGACUGGGAUAACUCCGGGAAACCGGGGCUAAUACCGGAUGGUUGUUUGAACCGCAUGGUUCAGACAUAAAAGGUGGCUUCGGCUACCACUUACAGAUGGACCCGCGGCGCAUUAGCUAGUUGGUGAGGUAACGGCUCACCAAGGCACGAUGCGUAGCCGACCUGAGAGGGUGAUCGGCCACACUGGGACUGAGACACGGCCCAGACUCCUACGGGAGGCAGCAGUAGGGAAUCUUCCGCAAUGGACGAAAGUCUGACGGAGCAACGCCGCGUGAGUGAUGAAGGUUUUCGGAUCGUAAAGCUCUGUUGUUAGGGAAGAACAAGUGCCGUUCAAAUAGGGCGGCACCUUGACGGUACCUAACCAGAAAGCCACGGCUAACUACGUGCCAGCAGCCGCGGUAAUACGUAGGUGGCAAGCGUUGUCCGGAAUUAUUGGGCGUAAAGGGCUCGCAGGCGGUUUCUUAAGUCUGAUGUGAAAGCCCCCGGCUCAACCGGGGAGGGUCAUUGGAAACUGGGGAACUUGAGUGCAGAAGAGGAGAGUGGAAUUCCACGUGUAGCGGUGAAAUGCGUAGAGAUGUGGAGGAACACCAGUGGCGAAGGCGACUCUCUGGUCUGUAACUGACGCUGAGGAGCGAAAGCGUGGGGAGCGAACAGGAUUAGAUACCCUGGUAGUCCACGCCGUAAACGAUGAGUGCUAAGUGUUAGGGGGUUUCCGCCCCUUAGUGCUGCAGCUAACGCAUUAAG